ACCCCUGCAGCGCAAUGGAUAGCGCGUUGGACUUCUAAUCCAAAAGUCGUGGCUUCCAAUCAUACUUGGGAUG
Trichonephila clavipes is the source of this 73-nucleotide non-coding RNA. NCBI's taxonomy places the organism in Eukaryota, Metazoa, Arthropoda, Arachnida, Araneae, Nephilidae. The record is from the annotation of a GenBank genome assembly.